This 253-nucleotide ribosomal RNA is filed under the name uncultured bacterium. RNAcentral's name for it is "partial 16S ribosomal RNA". It matches the Rfam family "Bacterial small subunit ribosomal RNA", at positions 524 to 776 of the family's 1533-position model. The record is from RNAcentral.
UACAGAGGGUGCGAGCGUUAAUCGGAAUUACUGGGCGUAAAGCGCGCGUAGGCGGCUUUGCAAGUCGGGUGUGAAAUCCCCAGGCUUAACCUGGGAACUGCAUUCGAGACUGCAUUGCUAGAGUAUGGGAGAGGGAAGUGGAAUUUCAGGUGUAGCGGUGAAAUGCGCAGAUAUCAGGAAGAACACCAAUGGCGAAGGCAGCUCUCUGGGACGGUACUGACGCUGAGACGCGAAAGCGUGGGGAGCGAACAGG